CCCCGCAGCCCCUGCCCUGCCGGCUCCCUGCCCUGCCGGCUCCCUCGGCCGCCCGUCCCGCACACGUGCUGCCCCAGGGAAUGAAUACUGUGUACCCAGACAGCAAUAAACAUUUAGCUGCAGACCACUGACAGAAAUCUAUAGACCACCAGUUUGGGAAACCUCAGCUUCGAACUCUAAAUGAUUCAACAUUUGUUCCCUCUGAUGACACCGCGAAUCUGGGAAUGAAGAACUUCUUGGAGCUGAUUGGAAAUGGCAUUGCGGAGCUGAAACUUAACUGGAGGAAAUAUAUCUCCUGAAGAAGAAAAUAUAAUGCACUGUAAGGAUCUGUCUUCUGGUGAAAAAUUCAAGCCUAGAGAAAACUUGUCCGCUUUGUUAGUAAGAAUGGGUUGGACAAUUUUCUUCAGUUCCAAAGGAUAUCUGAAUGCCAUGCUGAGCUUAAUCUCUGCAGCAUGCUCUGUGCUUCUCAUCUCUUCCUGAUGCACUGCAUGGUUAUUCUGAAGGGAAGGAUAAAGAAACUGGCCACCAAGAUGGUAAUCACUAGUGGAAAUGAAGAAGAUAAAGGCAGUCAAGAAAAGGAAAGCAAAGAAGAAACGAUCUUGGCAAUGCUUGGAAUUAUUGGGACAAUUCUGAACCUCAUUGUGAUCAUUUUUGUGUAUAUUUAUACAACGUUGUAAACUAGAAGGCAUGCAAAUAGACCAGAUAAAACGGCCAUUAAGAGUGACAACAAACAUUGCUGACUAUUGACAUGUUCUUUAAUCAGAAUUGACUCUGUAUUAUAUUAACACAUCAUAAAAGCACUGCCUGAAGGCAGCGAAGACUGAAGCACAAUUAAUUUAACAAGACUUUUUCACACAGUAAUAAGCUUAACUCUUCUCUCCUGCCCUCUCCCUUUUGGUUUGGUUUUCAGUUUGGAGGAGAAUGACUGCAGUUAUAUAAGUUGUAGCUUUGAAGAAAUUCACCAGGAAUAUGUUGUUUUGACACAAUUAAAAAAAAAAAAAAAAAA
This is a long non-coding RNA of Ficedula albicollis (Collared flycatcher), 1006 nucleotides long. RefSeq lists it as uncharacterized. Lineage: Eukaryota; Metazoa; Chordata; Aves; Passeriformes; Muscicapidae. The transcript is spliced from 4 exons. The record is from RefSeq and is a predicted model, not a curated record.